RNAcentral lists this transfer RNA (83 nucleotides) under Canis lupus dingo (dingo). It matches the Rfam family "tRNA". From Rfam's summary of the family: Transfer RNA (tRNA) molecules are approximately 80 nucleotides in length. Their secondary structure includes four short double-helical elements and three loops (D, anti-codon, and T loops). Lineage: Eukaryota; Metazoa; Chordata; Mammalia; Carnivora; Canidae. The record is from Rfam by way of RNAcentral.
GCCUGGGUGGCUCAGUGGUUUAGCACCUGGCUUCUGCCCAGGACAUUAUCCUGGUGUCUUGGGAUCGAGUCCCACGUCGGGCU